CAGUAGCCGCGGUAAAACGUAGGUGGCAAGCGUUGUCCGGAAUUAUUGGGCGUAAAGCGCGCGCAGGUGGUUUAAUAAGUCUGAUGUGAAAGCCCACGGCUCAACCGUGGAGGGUCAUUGGAAACUGUUAAACUUGAGUGCAGGAGAGAAAAGUGGAAUUCCUAGUGUAGCGGUGAAAUGCGUAGAGAUUAGGAGGAACACCAGUGGCGAAGGCGGCUUUUUGGCCUGUAACUGACACUGAGGCGCGAAAGCGUGGGGAGCAAACAGGAUUAGAUACCCCCGUAGUCCCUGUCUCUUAUAC
This 301-nucleotide ribosomal RNA is filed under the name uncultured bacterium. Its description in RNAcentral is "partial 16S ribosomal RNA". It matches the Rfam family "Bacterial small subunit ribosomal RNA", at positions 509 to 807 of the family's 1533-position model. The record is from RNAcentral.